GAUGAACGCUGGCGGCGUGCUUAACACAUGCAAGUCGAACGAAGAUGCCGGAGUGCUUGCACUUUGGCAGACUGAGUGGCGGACGGGUGAGUAACGCGUGGGUAACCUGCCUUAUACAGGGGGAUAACAGUUGGAAACGACUGCUAAUACCGCAUAAGCGCACGGUAUCGCAUGAUACAGUGUGAAAAACUCCGGUGGUAUAAGAUGGACCCGCGUCUGAUUAGCUUGUUGGUGAGGUAACGGCCCACCAAGGCGACGAUCAGUAGCCGGCCUGAGAGGGCGACCGGCCACAUUGGGACUGAGACACGGCCCAAACUCCUACGGGAGGCAGCAGUGGGGAAUAUUGCACAAUGGGGGAAACCCUGAUGCAGCGACGCCGCGUGAAGGAAGAAGUAUUUCGGUAUGUAAACUUCUAUCAGCAGGGAAGAAAAUGACGGUACCUGACUAAGAAGCCCCGGCUAAACUACGUG
Molecule: ribosomal RNA, 470 nt
Filed under: uncultured bacterium
Lineage: Bacteria
Description: bacterial SSU rRNA
Rfam family: Bacterial small subunit ribosomal RNA
Source: RNAcentral